Molecule: ribosomal RNA, 275 nt
Filed under: uncultured bacterium
Lineage: Bacteria
Description: partial 16S ribosomal RNA
Rfam family: Bacterial small subunit ribosomal RNA
Source: RNAcentral
ACACGUAGGGCGCAAGCGUUGUCCGGAUUUAUUGGGCGUAAAGGGCUCGUAGGCGGUUUCGUAAGUCGGGUGUGAAAACUCAGGGCUCAACCCUGAGACGCCACUCGAUACUGCGAUGACUUGAGUCCGGUAGGGGAGCAGGGAAUUCCUGGUGUAGCGGUGAAAUGCGCAGAUAUCAGGAGGAACACCAUUAGCGAAGGCGCUGCUCUGGGCCGGUACUGACGCUGAGGAGCGAAAGCAUGGGGAGCAAACAGGAUUAGAUACCCUUGUAGUCC